RNAcentral lists this ribosomal RNA (253 nucleotides) under uncultured bacterium. RNAcentral's name for it is "partial 16S ribosomal RNA". It matches the Rfam family "Bacterial small subunit ribosomal RNA", at positions 524 to 776 of the family's 1533-position model. The record is from RNAcentral.
UACGUAGGGGGCAAGCGUUAUCCGGAUUUACUGGGUGUAAAGGGAGCGUAGGCGGUCUGACAAGUCAGAAGUGAAAGCCCGGGGCUCAACCUCGGGACUGCUUUUGAAACUGCCGGACUAGAUUGCAGGAGAGGUAAGUGGAAUUCCUAGUGUAGCGGUGAAAUGCGUAGAUAUUAGGAAGAACACCAGUGGCGAAGGCGCUUCUCUGGACUGUAACUGACGCUGAGGCUCGAAAGCGUGGGGAGCAAACAGG